ACACUCCUGCGGGAGGCAGCAGUGGGGAAUUUUGGACAAUGGGCGAAAGCCUGAUCCAGCAAUGCCGCGUGUGUGAAGAAGGCCUUCGGGUUGUAAAGCACUUUUGUCCGGAAAGAAAUCCUUGGCUCUAAUACAGUCGAGGGAUGACGGUACCGGAAGAAUAAGCACCGGCUAACUACGUGCCAGCAGCCGCGGUAAUACGUAGGGUGCGAGCGUUAAUCGGAAUUACUGGGCGUAAAGCGUGCGCAGGCGGUUUGCUAAGACCGAUGUGAAAUCCCCGGGCUCAACCUGGGAACUGCAUUGGUGACUGGCAGGCUAGAGUAUGGCAGAGGGGGGUAGAAUUCCACGUGUAGCAGUGAAAUGCGUAGAGAUGUGGAGGAAUACCGAUGGCGAAGGCAGCCCCCUGGGCCAAUACUGACGCUCAUGCACGAAAGCGUGGGGAGCAAACAGGAUUAGAAACCCGUGUAGUCCCAUGA
Molecule: ribosomal RNA, 476 nt
Filed under: uncultured organism
Description: partial 16S ribosomal RNA
Rfam family: Bacterial small subunit ribosomal RNA
Source: RNAcentral